This 328-nucleotide ribosomal RNA is filed under the name uncultured eukaryote. RNAcentral describes it as "partial 18S ribosomal RNA". It matches the Rfam family "Eukaryotic small subunit ribosomal RNA", at positions 1470 to 1796 of the family's 1831-position model. The record is from RNAcentral.
CCCUUAGAUGUCCUGGGCCGCACGCGCGUUACACUGAUGCAUUCAACGAGCUUAUAACCUUGGCCGUGAGGCCUGGGCAAUCUUGUUAACGUGCAUCGUGAUAGGGAUAGAUUAUUGAAAUUAUUAAUCUUGAACGAGGAAUUCCUAGUAAACGCAGAUCAUCAAUCUGCAUUGAUUACGUCCCUGCCCUUUGUACACACCGCCCGUCGCACCUACCGAUUGGAUGGUCCGGUGAAACCUCGGGAUUGUGGUUCUUGCCGCUUUAUUGUGGCGUGACCGCGAGAACUUGUCUAAACCUUAUCAUCUAGAGGAAGGUGAAGUCGUAACA